GAGGGGGAGGAGGAAAAGCAAGAGAUAAGAGAUGACAAUGGGAGCAGAUUGGCAAAUGCAAAACAAAACGUCCUUUAAAAGAGCUGUGGUCUCUUAUUCUGUGAACAUAUCCUUCAUAUAAACUAAGAAUCCCUUAAAUUGUGCUCAUUGCUUUCAUCCAGAGGUCAAACAACAAUAAUUAUCUACUCACUUAGCAUUAUUUCCUGCACAUUUCACCUUCAAUUUUCUUACCAUUUUCAUAUGAAAGGUUAGAUAAUGGUGCAAGGAAUAUAACUGAGGAGAAAGUAAGGUAAAAGAAAAUAAAAAGGUGGGACAAUACAAAUGUUUUAAUGAUCAGAAAAACCCACAGCUCAAAAACAACAACUAGAUCAACUCCUCUCAAUUUCGGGCGGGUUUGAACAAGUCCUACUGUCCAUAUUUUUGUCAGUUUUGAGCGCCAGUUAUUAUGAUCUGGUAAACACCUCAUCAGCACUCUGUUCAAAGAGCCAAGUAUGCAGCAGGAAACAGGCUGCGCGCUCAGUUUGAUAAACAUCGCCAUUUUCAGACUCUGUAAGCAGGCAGCGCAGGAUCGAGAGGAGACUGGCCUUAAAUGCAAAAUGCAAAGUUGAAAUCACUGCUCUACACCAAAAGGAAGACCAACUCUGGCCAACAUUGGCAUCAAAGAACCAGAACUGCAUGCACUUGAAUCACCUACAGUGGAAAGUAAACAUAAGCAGUGUGGCAUCUGGAUGUUUCUGACCCUGACCUCUGACCUUCUCUUGGAAAUAAGUGGUGGUGGACCUCAGUCGAUCGAUGCCUGCGCCAUGUGAUGGACGACAAAUGAACAAGGGGUCCGGGAUGCAUAAAUGGAGAGGACGGCAUGCUGUCAGAGAGAGACAUGGGGACUGAGAGUGAGCAAGGCUAACAGGGAGUUAAUGGGACAUGUGUUUGAUGGUGGUCACAUGGACUGGGGAAUUACCUGUGGUAAUUGGGAAACAGGGAAGGCUGCAGACAGAUUGUAUUACCUGGAGGACUUACACACAUAGAUGCACACACACAGACUUAAGACAACUCAGACUAGCACUAGUGGGAUUUUUAGAUCAAGCAGCUUUGUCUAUGUGUUUGUGUGACAGGUUAUCCUAAUUUGAUUCAUUCAGGUUAAAUAGUGGAUGGAUUGUAUAUCCUAUGGGACUACUGACAAGACUUUGAGAUUCAGGUCCUAUAGAGCUUUCCAAAACCUGGGUUGAUUGACUCAUUAAACAUUACUCAUUGAAAAAGUAAUUACAUAACAUAAUUACAUAAUAAAGGUGCCCUUAAAUAACUCACUCAACCCACAUAUUACAUCCUUUGUCUUUAACACAUGCAGGGACAGAAAACAAGACACUGCAGUUGCAACUCAGAUGUCAACGUAACUGGUUAUUACUGGGAUUUGUAGCUGUAAUUUAAUUAUUGAAUUGCAAAUUGUAAUACCCUACACAACUUGUUACUGAAGAAAGAAGACAAAAACUUCACUGUAACAUGUCACUAAGUAAUGCUUUACUGCCCAACACAGUAAUUAAGAGCUCAUGGCUGAAUAUUGUGUUACAAAUGUGUUAUUUUUUGGCCCUUUAAACAAACUGGACUGUUGAGGUAAAUCCAGGUAAAAACAACUUUUCCUUACUGACUUUUUAUAUUAAAUCUGUAGCAAUUACAAAGCAGGAGAUGUAGAUAAGGAUAGACAGCAAUGAUGAAAAGGCAGUAUUAAAGUUUGCAAUUAAAAUGACUUUAUGCUUUGAGACAACAGAGAAAAUGGGAAACAAGGCCACCAUGCUGCAGAGUAUACAGGUUGUUCCCACACAGCCUGUGUUUAGGCUGUGCCAUAAUGUGUACAUUAGAAUUAAAAGACUCCAGCAUUACUGUUUAAUGGCUCUGAACCAAAUUAAACAUUUAAAAGGCUCCACCAUCAAAGUGAUGUAAAGGGAAAUAAAUAUUAAUGAAUGAACUAACACUUGGUUCAAAGGGCUGGAAGCUGGGAAAAUUAAAAGGGAGCAAGGGUCUGCAUAAGGAAGGGUGCUCAGUGGAAGGGAACGCUGUACUGCGGGGGGUUGAUUCCUGUGAGACCACACAUGCAGUAUAACCAAAUGCAUGAAUUCAUGUUGCUGAGAGGCAUGUUGGUUUAAAUACAUCUGUUACAGUGCACCAAACUGUAUAAAAUGUAUAUGUUCACAAUCUGUUGGGAUCACGUGAGGCAUUAAGUCAUAGAUACAUAACAAUAUCGUGUCUUAUGUUUUUUUUUUUCUUAGUCUGUUUCUCUUUUGCAAAAACACUCAUGAGCAAUGAGCAAACGUACCCUCAUAUGCAGGCAAAUUCAGUCCUAUUGAUUUUCAAGUUGACCAGGGCCCACUAGAGAACAGAUAUUUUACUGAGGGUUUAUUGAGCUUUUUUCAUUUUCUGCUCCUUUGUCUGUCACUAAAAAUAGCAAUGCGAUCAUACAAAGACAAUUUUCAGGCUCAGGCUUGGCCACAACUGAGCAAACUGCAGGCCUCCCUUACAGGGGUAAGAAAUUUGGUUUGCUCAAACACUUCCUUAAGUUAAACUCAGAUAAAUCACAAGUUAUCAUCGUCAGUCCAGAGUGUGUGUGUGUGCGUGUGUGUUUGUCCAUGACGUAGGAUGUGCAGGUCACUAAACAUGUGACAGAAAUAGCAAGGUCAAAAACAAGGAGUGACAAUAGCAUCACUUUUCCUCUCGAAGGUUCCCUUCUCCAACACUUGUGGCAGCUUUAAGGAUACCGCAGGCGAGGUAGACAGCUCAUCACAAUGGAUGACAAGUGUGGGGGCGUGAACUUGACCAAAUGAGGGGAAGAGGUGAUGACUAAUGAUUCAUUUUCCUGACUCGAGGCAGAAAAAGUUACAUUUUUGUGUGCGAGGCCUUCCAUGUUUCAUGCAGGCAAAAAUAGAGAUAUGCUCCGUGAGUCAGAAAAGAGCUAGAAGUAUUCAGUGACAAAGUGUCAAAAAGUUUCAUUUAACCUGCGCAUUCUUGUCAUUGUGUUAAACUGUCUGGGUUUGGUAAUCUUAUCCCCCAUUAAUUCCUGUCUAUCAGGUCUACACAGUGCAAAAGUUAGGUUUAAUUAAGAAAAUGCUUCAUUUGAUCUGCACACCAGAUCUAUUUGUUGUAUUUUGCUCAGAGCACACCCAAUUACUCACUCUGUAGUAUGCAUGAGUGGCCAUGUUUUUUUUAUGUGUGACAAACAUAAUCAGAUGUGAAGCAUUAACACAGAUGGACUGUGAAAAUUCACCACACAGAUCCUUACAUUUUGGCAUUAACACCGGAAGCUGUGUCAAAACAGUGUCCGAGGUUGCAUGUUAACAUGCUUUUCCCCACUGGGAUGCAGCAUAGGCACUUUUGAUAAUGCUUGCAUCUGAUGACUAAUGUCUGUGGGCACAGAAAUUUUGCAAGCAUACUCUUCAUCAAAACAGCCUCUCAGUACAUCUCUUAAGUAGUUUAUUUGAUUUAAAUUUGCAAAUCCCUUUUGGUAAAAGUUUAAUUCACCCUUUGCCUCAAAGUUUCAGUUGAGUUAAGGAUAUGCAAAUGAACUCACAGUGACUUCCCUGCCCAUUAACUCACAUCGCCCUCCUGCUGGAUUUGUCCUCACGCUAACCCCGUGUGAGGUGACUGGGAAAAUAUCCGUCCCAGGUUGUAUCCUCUGACGACCCACUAUUUUGCUCCCAUCUUAGCUUGAACAGAAGGACCUCCUGUUUCUCUUUCUUGGUAGAGAUGUGAGGAGGGUCUGUUUCUUCAGUUACAGAUGCGACAUCCUUGAAAUAAUUUAUGCUUUUUAAGGGGUGAUCAUUAAGAACACUGUGAAGAUUUUGAGAAUAAAUUUUAGGAAUUGCCUUGAGAGAUUUAACCAUUUGCUGACUCACUUUUUCAAAUAGAAGUUUCGCUAAUUUUAAAUUUUCUGGAUUUAUUGAAUAAAAUAAGCACUGUUUGUACAAGCUUGUCAGAUUUGAGCAUCAUUACACAAGCAAAUCCUAGAGGUUAUGUUUGUAUAGUAUUCAUUUGUUUUCCUAAAUAUGUUAAACAAAUAUAAUUGCUAUAUUAUGCUCAUACAGUACGCAUUGUUUCCUAGUUUAGGCAGUACUACAUUUUUGUACUGCAGAGAAGUUGUCUAGAAGUGGAGGGGGUGGCUAUAAUCAAUAUUUCUUUAUUAUCAUUAUAAUCAUUAUAAUGCAUCCUGGCUGCAGUAGAUGGCUAUUUUCAGUAAAAAAAACAAAAAAACCCUCUAAAAUCUGACUUUUAGUUUUGUAACUGAGGCAUUUUACCUUCCAACAAUAUGUAGGAUGUAUUCUGUCUCAGAGAAACAUAUUCAAGGUCAAAGUUCACACUGUAGUAAUAACAUUAAGAGCAAGAAAUGGGACAUUGCACAAGCCCAAUGUAGUGUAAUCUCCAGAGGGAAAAAAAACAUAACCAGUGAACAUAAUUUCAGCUUCAUGAGGCGGAAUACAUUAUUGAACAGCACUGGCUAAACUGCAUUUCAUGUCAGUAGUGCCUCAUCUGUUCUAUGUACACUUGUUUGAUGAUUUAUUCACUUGGUGCUGGCCUGUUAGUCUGACACAUCUGUAAUCGUCCAUGCAUGGCAUCUGACUUGUGUGGAGGUUGUUGGGGGUGGAGGGGGGCAUAGUGCAGACGAGAGGUGAGAAAAGUGCGUGGGCUCCAUCGUGACCUCGUGAACAGGCAUUUUGUUUUCCUGUUAGAACCACAAGUGUUGUCAGUGUACUCCGGAAUUGAGGUUAGAAGCCCUUUCAUCGGCCAAAUCUCAAUAUUUAAUGACCUUGAGAGCACGAUUAAAGCCUUGGCCGUUUUUCUGCAGGCCUCUUGUGAUCAAAUAAAUUUUUUGAUGAAGUAAAAACUA
Molecule: long non-coding RNA, 4870 nt
Organism: Lates calcarifer (barramundi perch)
Lineage: Eukaryota; Metazoa; Chordata; Actinopteri; Centropomidae
Exons: 4
Source: RefSeq, a predicted model, not a curated record